GGGCGAUUAGCUCAGCUGGUUAGAGUACCUGGUCGACAUCCAGGGGGUCACUGGUUCAAAUCCAGUAUCGCCCAC
Molecule: transfer RNA, 75 nt
Filed under: Fidelibacterota bacterium
Lineage: Bacteria; Pseudomonadati; Fidelibacterota
Description: Candidatus Marinimicrobia bacterium tRNA-Val
Rfam family: tRNA
About the family: Transfer RNA (tRNA) molecules are approximately 80 nucleotides in length. Their secondary structure includes four short double-helical elements and three loops (D, anti-codon, and T loops).
Source: RNAcentral